Molecule: long non-coding RNA, 227 nt
Filed under: Panax ginseng (ginseng)
Lineage: Eukaryota; Viridiplantae; Streptophyta; Magnoliopsida; Apiales; Araliaceae
Description: long non-coding RNA (PGIN_LNC004385)
Source: RNAcentral
GAAAUGAGAAUAUAGCUGGAACGAGUCGGGGAACGGAGUGAUGGACCAGAUGAUAGUAUUAGUAGUCCUCACUAUUCUGUUAAAUAGUGUGAUAAUAAAUGUAAUGAGGACUUAUUCUGAGAGUGGAUAUUGUCUAGAAGACAAUAUUUGUAUUUAAACUCACAGCUCUCUUAUUGUAUAAUUAAGAUUGUAUUUGUAUUCUGUACCAUGUAUUUGACGACUCAGAA